RNAcentral lists this long non-coding RNA (623 nucleotides) under Prunus persica (peach). RNAcentral's name for it is "long non-coding RNA (PPER_LNC005519)". Lineage: Eukaryota; Viridiplantae; Streptophyta; Magnoliopsida; Rosales; Rosaceae. The record is from RNAcentral.
CCACGUACAAUCCGAACAUAACCAAUUGAAAUCGUUGCAUGCAUGGUAAUGUCAUCACUACAAUCACAUCCCAAAAGUUAGGCAGCGCCAUGAAAAUAGUCAAUCCUCUGCUUCAAAUGAAAGUGCAGAUUCAUGGGGGAGGAGGAUCUUCAUCUUCCCAUCUCAAUCCAAUUACUUGGCUGGCUGGUCUUCAUCACCCGCCUGAGACCUUUGCCUAACCCAAUUUCUAUAUUCUCCAUCAGCUGGCUUAUGGACCAACCACUCCAUGCCACGUGCCUGUUUCUCUUCAUCACCUCAUGUUGGAACAAAGGAAACAGGACCCACAUAGGCCGGCGUCAACCCUAGACCUUUCUUUUUGAAAUUUGGUGCAAGAGAACCCUUAUAAGUUAUACCGUAUUACCUUAUAACAUGGUUUGGCCUGUGAUCAGGUGUGGCAGCACUGCUCGUUCAUUCUAUCUUCACACAUACGUGGACGUCGCCUAUUGGUUCUUUUUUUAGGGUACCGAGAUGAUUAAAAAUUCCUAAGACAACCUAACAUCACAGGUGUCCAGUCCUAACUGGAAUGAUGGAAUCCUUUCCUGAUAAAGAAAGAUCAGUCUCCUUGUAAUUGUAGCCAAAUUGUG